ACGUACACUCCUGCGGGAGGCAGCAGUGGGGAAUAUUGGACAAUGGGCGAAAGCCUGAUCCAGCAAUGCCGCGUGAGUGAUGAAGGCCUUAGGGUUGUAAAGCUCUUUUACCCGGGAUGAUAAUGACAGUACCGGGAGAAUAAGCCCCGGCUAACUCCGUGCCAGCAGCCGCGGUAAUACGGAGGGGGCUAGCGUUGUUCGGAAUUACUGGGCGUAAAGCGCGCGUAGGCGGCUUUGUAAGUUAGAGGUGAAAGCCCGGAGCUCAACUUCGGAAUUGCCUUUAAGACUGCAUCGCUAGAAUCGUGGAGAGGUGAGUGGAAUUCCGAGUGUAGAGGUGAAAUUCGUAGAUAUUCGGAAGAACACCAGUGGCGAAGGCGACUCACUGGACACGUAUUGACGCUGAGGUGCGAAAGCGUGGGGGGCAAACAGGAUUAGAAACCCCUGUAGUCCCAU
Molecule: ribosomal RNA, 453 nt
Filed under: uncultured organism
Description: partial 16S ribosomal RNA
Rfam family: Bacterial small subunit ribosomal RNA
Source: RNAcentral